AUACCCGGGUAGUCCCAGCUGUAAACGAUGCAGGCUAGGUGUUUGGACGGCCACGUGCCGUUCUAGUGCCGCAGGGAAGCUGUUAAGCCUGCCGCCUGGGGAGUACGAUCGCAAGAUUGAAACUUAAAGGAAUUGGCGGGGGAGCACCACAAGGGGUGAAGCUUGCGGUUUAAUUGGAGUCAACGCCGGAAAUCUCACCGGGAGCGACAGCAGUAUGAAGGCCAGAUUAAAGGUCUUGCCAGACGAGCUGAGAGGAGGUGCAUGGCCGUCGCCAGUUCGUGCCGUGAGGUGUCCUGUUAAGUCAGGCAACGAUCGAGACCCGCGUCCUCUGUUGCAACUAGCUUUGAGCUGGGCACACUGAGGAGACCGCCACUGAUAAAGUGGAGGAAGGAGCGGGCCACGGCAGGUCAGUAUGCCCCGAAUCUCCCGGGCCACACGCGAGCUGCAAUGGCAGGUACAAUGGGUUCCGACCUCAAAAGGGGAAGGCAAUCUCGAAAGCCUGCCGUAGUUGGGAUCGAGGGCUGCAACCCGCCCUCGUGAACAUGGAAUCCCUAGUAAUCGC
RNAcentral lists this ribosomal RNA (562 nucleotides) under uncultured archaeon. RNAcentral's name for it is "bacterial SSU rRNA". It matches the Rfam family "Archaeal small subunit ribosomal RNA", at positions 733 to 1301 of the family's 1478-position model. The record is from RNAcentral.